AUAUAAUAUAUUUGUUAUAUUCUUUCUCUUCUUUGGGAUGUUGGAAUGAGUUAACAGUCCAGUUCCCUUGAGUAAAGCAGAGAACUGAAGACCCAUCCCUUGUCCACAUCUUUUAUUUUGGCAGAAAGGUGAAAUUUCCUCGUUCAAGUGCCUGCUUCAUAUUUUGUUUUACUCUUCCCCCUUCUAACACUUUUAAUUUGACUGGGGAGGAGUUGAAACUGGCUUUUUCUUUCCCACUUAUUGUGGUAGAAAAUGGGGGAUGGAUACCAGCUUUCUUGGAGUCUUAUAUUCAAAAUAGCUAUAAAUAAUUAGUUACAGGGAUCGAGCUUCCCCCUCCUUUUAAGGCCUAAUUUAAGUUCUUUAUCAAAAUGAUUUAAAAUGCCUUUCUCUGUGGGAAACUAUAUUUCAGAGCUUUUAUUUAUUAGACGUCUCAAAAAGUGUGUUUUUAAUGCACAUCCUGACUUUCUGCCAAAACUCUCCACUGUAACAUUGGGAUUGGAGCAACCCUUUGUAUAGGGAGUUAUAUUUAUUGGAUUUUUACAUAUUGAUACAGAGCAAUUAAUCUAAAUAAAUCAUACACAGAAUUGGCAAAUAAAUCUCCCAGUCUUCAAUACUCACUGUACUAUAUUACUGCCCUGACAACCUUCCCUCAAACACAGAAAAACUUUCCUCUUUGUGUACUUUUUUCUCAUCCUCCUAAAGUGUUAAUGAUUUUCUGGCGUUGUGUAGCUUGGUUGCUGUUGCUGUGAGCUGCAGAGUUUGGGCUGUGGAUUUUGUUUUAUGAUGUAGGGAUGGGAAAACCUCGCUGCAUUUUAAAGGAGGGCGAAGAGCCUCAAAUUCUGCAAAAUGUGUGAGGAUCAUAAAGUAGUAAGCAAAGGCAGAUUUCAUGGUAGAUGGUUAAAUAUCUAAUAUCUAGCAUUAUGGGCCCUUUAUGGCACUGAGAGGAGAUUUCUUUAUUCUGAUUUAAAAAGUACAAUGUCUCUUGUGCUGGAUGGCUGCUUUGAGGAGUUCUUCAGCAACUUUGAAUUUUGCUUCAGCAGUUUCAGGACCUCCAGACUAAGUGUGUGUGUUUGUAGGUUGGAAUCCUCCAUUCUGGGACACCUUCUUCCCCCUCCCAAAUUUUUUCCUGCUUUCUGAACAGAAGUUGCAUACGAGAUAGUCUGGGCUUAAUUAAUUUAAGCAAAUACAAAACUGUAAGGCAGGUCAGGGACGGGUACAACUGAGUGUAACCCUCUGGCAGCUCACACCAGUGGAAGCUCUGCCUGGCUGUGUUUUGCAUCCCUGCCAUUACAAAUCCCAGGGAUGUGACAGCCUUCUCAAAAACCUCGUGUUCAGUCUUUCCCAGUGAAGGGUUAAGAGCUGUGGCUUUCCAAAGGGAUUUUGUAGUACCGGGCCCAUCACUCCAGAAGGCUCUGGUCUUUCUGACAAAAGGGCUCUGACAUCCAGGCAGUACUCCUGAAAGUUCAGGGUUUGCAAAGUCAGAGCUCUGUAAGAAAUCAUUACAAUAAAAGGUAGAACAGAUUCCAGCAAGUGUUCAAUCACCCAGUGUGGUGCCACUUAGAGGCAGAAGACCUUAAAACAGCCAGCAAGAUGCCUGCAGAAGAAGCCUCUGUGCCAGCUCUGGCACUCUGUGCCUGUCAUUCCACUCUGUGCCUGUCAUUCCAGCCUUUCAUCCCAGUUCCGUAAUACAAAUGAGAUUUCAGUGACUAGUCCUGGGCUGUGAGCUCCAGUGAGGCUGUGCAAGAGGCAGGGCCACCGGAGUGAUUCUCCUCUUUGGGCUUGGAUGGGAACCAAAACUCAUCUCUGGGAAGAAAUAUUUGGAAGAGACACUGAAGAUUAGAAAGUAAACCCCGUGUCUGGAGCUACUCCACAAGUCAAACCAAUACACAAAAACUGGCUCCUCAGAAAAGGUGACUACAUGUGGCCAAGCCAACCUGAGACUGGCCAAGUUCAUGCCCGAAAGGAAUCUACUGAUGGUUUUGGAGGUGGAGCAGGAUAUUUGGAGCUGCAGCCCCACAGAAGGUGUAUCUGAAGGGGGAUACACUGUGUGUGAGGGUCAUAGCCAGCAGAUGUAUCUUCAGUUAGGACAAGACAUCAUCAGAGUGAUGGAGAGAACACAAGGUGAGCACCCCCUGAGCAGCCUCCCUCCCUCCAGCUCAAUCCCAUCAUAAAUAACAAUGGUACUGAACUAUACACAGAAGAAGACGUUUUUUUCCAAAGCCUUCAGUUUUAAAGCUGAUGUUCCCAGUUCUCUCCAGUUGCUCCCUAGACACAUCCCCUUUCCCCUGCUACACAGGAGUAUGGCUCCAAACCAUUCUUGAAUGAAGUCAGCUCUGCUUUGCCUCUUGUUUGCUCUAAUCCACACCGCUUACAGUUAUUAUCAAAAUUGGGAAACAAUACAAAGCCGCACUUUGUGUGAUCAUGGAAUACCCUGCAAACACAACUAUUCAUUAGAAAAAAUAGACUAGGCACUACAACUGCCAGCUCCUGACUCUGCUGUGACACAGACACAUUUUUUUUUUUCAUCAGAGAUAUUUUUUUUUUGCCAUGAGAUGCCGAACAAAAGUCACGAGCAGUUCCUCUGAUCAAAAGAAAUCUCUGUGAGAGUCUGUGGCAGCUUCACCCCGUCCCUUCAUGCCAGCCACUGCUCAUUUCACUGAACACUCACUCUGCUCUACACUUGGCUCUUGAGAAAGUCAGAGCAGAUUCAGCACUGUGCAGUAAUACACUGAGAACAAAUGUGUUGUUUCUAUCAGUGGAAAAGGAAUUUAACUAUUUCUGAAAGUUCCUAUGCAAUGCCAGGAUAUGUUAAUACUUUGGCUACACCAUCGGUAUGGAUGUACCUGGCCUUGUUCUGGUGCUGAUCAGUGAUGUAAAUUAAAAUGUUAUUCAUUUAUAAAAUGUCUUGCCUUUAUUUAACAGAUCAAUUAAAGUCUUUAAAAAUUAUAAUCGUUAGAAUAACCAAUAUGUCAUAAGCUGUUUGGAAAUCUUCUCAACUUUAAGUUCAUUUUCUCUACAGAUCUUGUGACAUCAUUUAAUCACAGGGUCAGGGUAGGAUUUCAGAUGCAGAGAUGGGUCCCCUGUAUCUGCUCCCUGGUGCUAUCAGCACCUCCAAACACACCAAGUGACUUCAGUCUGCUCCACAUGCAAAUACUGUGCAGUAAAUAAUGAGCCACAUAAUUAUAGUUUGAGUAUUGAAUCAGCCUGUGAAAGCUAAAAGUGUAGGAGGUGAGUUUUGUGAGGACAGGAACAGCAUUUGCUGAAUAUACUUGGGAUAACUUCAGUCAAACCAUGAACGAGAGUGCUUUGGGUAGAAAGAUCUACAGAAAAAUGCAUCUCUGUUCUGCAUGAGACUUGGUAUUUUUUCCAUUGGCUUCCACAUUAAUUUGGGGCAAAACCACACUGACCUUUUCCAUUAAAGAAAACAAAAGAGCAUCUCCAAGACAGUGGGAACCAUGAAAUCAGGAGCUGGAAUACAACAUUGUGGCUUCUUUUAAGAAAGCCAAAGAGCAGCUAGGAACCUCAAAGCCCCAGAAGAGCCAGGAAUCCUGGACCACCAUUCUUACAGCCUGCUGGCUUCCAGUGUAAGGAUGUGGAAGGAAAAAGCCCUGAUGUGGCAAUCCCUGAUGAGUGUGCCCUAUUGUUGUAAGCACCCAGCUGACCUGCACCAGAGCCAUAAGUCUGGUAACACCAACUGUCCUCUUCAGCCUUUCCUCUGCAGGAAACAAGAGGCAGCUUGGGAUCCAGUGCUCCCAACUUCUGGCUUCUCACUGGCUUGGCAGAUGUACAGCAAAGGAAGCAGGAGCCAAGGAGACCAGUGGCUCCCAGAACCUCCCCAGGCAGCUGUGAUAAAAUCAGCUAAUUGGUAGGGAAAAAGCAGAUUCUCUUGUAACUUGGACAGCAUCUGAUCCAUCAGUUUUCUUUAAUGGAAAACUAUCCCUUGAGGGAUUUGCACUGGCUCCAGUCACUAAUGUCAUGAAAACCACAGGGGUAACCGUGAGCUUUAAAUCAUGUUUGGGCAAAUACUCCAUCUCCAUGUCUUUCACAAGAGAAGAAAUAAAUCAUUAUUCAAAUUUCACACAUGGUGAAACUGAGGCAGCAGGAGGUGCAGUACCCUGACCAGUAUUUACAAAUUGACUGGUCCAGCUGGGGCUGGCUGUCAGCUCUGCUGACCCCUGCUCUUUUAGCACAGGCAUCCAUGUCAUCACUGCACACAGACAGUCACACUGGCAAAAGACCACAGAUUCAUCUUUCUCACCUCUUGAAUUUGCAGCAUCGCUGCUCAAAUAUGGUUUCAUACUGAAAUAUUCUGAACUUUUUAUUUAAAUGAAAGGGUGCUUUCAAGGUGAGGGAAGAGUGAGGCUGAUUCUUUGUCUGGAAAAUAAUAUAAUUGUCUCGAGAAAAUAGCCCUCAUUGAUUCAAAACGAAUAAUUGGGAUGCCGUUAAUAGCUAUUAGUUUGGUGAUGAGAAGGCCCUAUUUAGUGAGCCUAAAGGAUUAAAGAGGAAACAAUUUGAAUUCUGACUCUCACAGCACACCCCCUCCAAAACCACCUCUGCAACUCGACCGCUGCCCGGCUGACUUUAAACUGCCAGCACUGACAAAAAGGGGAUGUUGCAUCUUUUAUAAACAGCCUUUUGUUUGCUGCUCUGACACCUGCGAAAAGCAAAAUUGUUAUUUUCUUGCUGCUUGUUGCUAGUUUGAUGCCCGCUCUGGGGCCCUACAUCAGAGACACUGCUCAGAACAGGUUGCAGGGGUCCGUUUCCGUGCUGUCUGCCGAUGGUGCUGCCUGAAGGAAAACCAUGGAAACGGAGUUUGACAGGCUCGCGGGGACCCACGGCUGCCAGAGCCGCUGUCUUUGAGCGCCUGAUGAAGACAUCACAGAGCAAACACAACAUUAAAACACUGCCGGCUGCUUUGCAUCACUUAGAAUGCAAAUCUCUUUGUUCUGCUCGGCCUCUGCGUUUGGUAGCCAAGGAAUCUGUGCCAUCAUCGAACACGGAUUUGACGACCUUUUUUCCUUCCCUGAACGCUGCCCCCCAAAAAAAUAAUAAAUCAUUUGUUGCGGUAGGGAGGCUUGUGUGGGGAUGUACAUGUGAAAAGGCCCCGGCUUUUUGCAGUUCCUGGGAUUUCAAUGCACAAAUUAAAUGCCUAUAUUGCAGAGAAG
Cyanistes caeruleus (blue tit) is the source of this 5165-nucleotide RNA transcript. RefSeq lists it as uncharacterized. NCBI's taxonomy places the organism in Eukaryota, Metazoa, Chordata, Aves, Passeriformes, Paridae. The record is from RefSeq and is a predicted model, not a curated record.